GUGUCAGCAGCCGCGGUAAUACGAAGGAUCCGAGCGUUAUCCGGAAUUAUUGGGUUUAAAGGGUCCGUAGGCGGGCCAAUAAGUCAGCGGUGAAAUCUUUCGGCUUAACCGGAAGCUUGCCGUUGAAACUGUAGGUCUAGAGUAGUUGUGUUGUGGUUGGAACGUGCAGUGUAGUGGUGAAAUACAUAGAUAUUGCGCAGAACACCGAUUGUGAAGACAGAUCACAAACAAUUUACUGACGCUGAGGGACGAAAGCGUGGGGAGCAAACAGGAUUAGAUACCCUGGUAGUCCACGCCGUAAACGAUGGUCACUAGCUGUUCGGCACAAUUGCGUGCUGAGUGGUUGAGCGAAAGUAUUAAGUGACCCACCUGGGGAGUACGUUCGCAAGAAUGAA
RNAcentral lists this ribosomal RNA (395 nucleotides) under uncultured bacterium. Its description in RNAcentral is "bacterial SSU rRNA". It matches the Rfam family "Bacterial small subunit ribosomal RNA", at positions 505 to 898 of the family's 1533-position model. The record is from RNAcentral.